Long non-coding RNA from Heterocephalus glaber (naked mole-rat), 703 nucleotides. RefSeq lists it as uncharacterized. The record is from RefSeq and is a predicted model, not a curated record. NCBI's taxonomy places the organism in Eukaryota, Metazoa, Chordata, Mammalia, Rodentia, Bathyergidae.
GUCAUAUAGUUCUAAAGUUGUAAGGAUGGCGUCUCCAUGAGUUGAUCUUGUCUCUGCCAGUUUUCUGUCACAUAAUCUGAAGUUGAAUCAUGAAUUGUGAGAGCUAUUUGAUAUCAACCAGCCCAAUCCCAUAGUUCUAAAGAGAAACUUACCUCAAGGACCAGGUUCAAUGUGGAGACCCAUUUCCUUUACCGCUGGAAUACAUGACAUGGUCAGUGGAUGUGCCUAUGAACCUAUCACUCUGCUCUGGAAUUGGAAAUGAGUCCAGUUCUGCUGCAAGGUCUUCAUUAUUCGAUAGUCUUGCUAAAACGAUGAACGAUGAAUGGGGCCAGCCAGUUGAAAACUCACAAUCUUGCCUUGGGGAACACAAUUUACGGAGUCCAAGGGGACAAUCAGAAAACAUGAUCAGCUCAGAGACCUGUCAUGCACAGUACAGAAGGCUUGUCUGACUUACGAAGUACAGGCUAUUUUAUUGACUGGAAGAUCAAAAAGGAAUACAUAGCAGAGAUGCCCACAAAAGGGCAACCUCCAGAGUUUCUUACAUUGCGAAAGACGUGUGCUCUUUCCUUUUGAGGUUUCAGCAGCCUAGAAUAGGAAAGUCAAUCCAGAGAUGAUGGAGUCCCUCAAACCCUGCCUCAAGCAAAUAGUAGUCUGAAGGAGAGCAGGCAUCAUUCUACUUCAUAGCUGGUAAUAAACAACAGGA